RNAcentral lists this long non-coding RNA (337 nucleotides) under Fukomys damarensis (Damara mole-rat). RNAcentral's name for it is "lncRNA (ENSFDAG00000033193.1)". Lineage: Eukaryota; Metazoa; Chordata; Mammalia; Rodentia; Bathyergidae. The record is from RNAcentral.
AGAAAUUGCUGCAUUUAUCAUUAAUCCUCUCUCCUAAAAAAACAUGUUCCCAGUAGUUCAGCAGUGGGAGAGACAACCCUCCCCUUCUGCCUCCUCCGUCAUCCGGGAAAGGAGUGCUAGAGAAAAUACAACCAGCCGGGUGGGAAGUUACUACACUCACAGCCCAGAUUUCGACCUGGGAGAGAGCAAUGUGCUCGGCUGAAGGAGACCCCGAGCUCCCGAAGAGGGCACGGACGAGGACGGCUCUCCUGCCCUCCUCCCGGCCCCUCUCACCCUCCUGUGGCAGCUGCAGUGCCCGGCCACGCACUCAUCUGAACCACGAAGGCCCAGAGCUGAG